UCGAACAAAGAUUGUCGCUGGCGAAAGCAUGUGCACAUCUAACCUUCAUAUUUAUACACCUGUGCACCCUUUGUAGGUCCUUGAAAGAGGAUCUAUGUAUUUUCAUCAUCACACCUAAUGUAUGGUCUAGAAUGUGUACACCGUUGACCACUGGGCGACGGAAAUGAAAUAAUAAUA
RNAcentral lists this unclassified non-coding RNA (177 nucleotides) under uncultured Boletales. Its description in RNAcentral is "sequence contains ITS1". Lineage: Eukaryota; Fungi; Basidiomycota; Agaricomycetes; Boletales. The record is from RNAcentral.